GAAGGCACAACAAGAUCACCACGUCUCAGCCCAGCAGGCAGUGGCUUCAGCUGUCUAACACUGACCUCAUCCUACGGAAAUACAGCGCACAGGAGAGACGACAAGAAAAUUCGACCUACGGAAGAAUUACUGGCGACGGGAGGGGAGGAAGAGGCCCCUGUGUCUGCUGCAAUUGCUUUAGUUUCUUUCUAGAUUACAACAACAUGACGGCUGUGCUAACUUUCAACUACAGCCUCAAUGAAUCCUGCCAGGCUGUAUGCUCUAGAACUGUGUAACUUUGAAGAAGUUACAGGUCCCCGGCACGCCUGCCUGGUUCAUGGCCGCAUCACACAAGACCAAGGUUGUAGCCAAGAACAUCUCCAGAAUUGCUCUCAUCUCAGAGGAGGCGACCAAAUACACCGCACAACAAACAACUGUACGAGCUCCGCAAGACAAGCCUGGCUCGGGUGAUCUGCGACAACAGUGACAAGCUACAGUACGUCCAGCCCAAAGUAAUGCUGGAGGCCGACUCUUUCCUUGGCUUGGCAGAGGAGAGAACAGAUCAACCAAGCAACGUCCUUCACUGACGGGUCGGUGAUCUACGGGUCCAGCAAGGAGGAGAGCGACGAGCUGCGUGCCUUCUCUGGCGGCCUCCUCAAGGUGCAGUGCUGCCCGGCAAACACCCAGAUUCUUACGGCCGACACCAACCAAAUUGACUGCAAGACCUCAGGAAGAUUCAAGUGUUUGAAAUCCGGUGAUGUGCGGGUGAAUGAACACAUCGGUCUGGCCGCAAUGCACCAGCCGUUCGUCAGGGAGCACAACCGCAUUGCCGUCUUGCUUUCGGACCUCAAUGCCCACUGGACUGACGAGCAAGUGUUCCAAGCGGUGCGCAGGAUUGUGGGAGCAACUCUGCAGCACAUCACCUACACUGAGUUCCUCCCCUCUAUUCUUGGCCAGGUAUUCUAAUAUAAUAGUUAAAACCAUCAACAGGAUCAGGAAGAGGGAGAUGAAGUGAGGAGAGAGGAGAGGAGGCAGGAGAUAGUGGUCAAGAGCCUCAGGUGUGGGCCGGACACUCAUCCUAACCUCCUCCUUGCCUCCUCCUCACAUCCAUCCCAAUAUCACUGUUCUCUUUCUUCAUAUCUCUUCAUUUCUUCCCUGCAGUCUCCUUUCUAAAACUUUAUUCAUUCAAGAAAAGUUAUAUUAAAUAGGUCUUUGUCUGGAUUGUGUAUGUACACACACACACACACACACACACACACACACACACACACACACACACACACACACACACACACACACACUAGAUAGAAACUGUUUGGUAUUGUAUGCACCCU
Scylla paramamosain (green mud crab) is the source of this 1313-nucleotide RNA transcript. It is a transcript of the gene named chorion peroxidase-like, with no coding region annotated. The record is from RefSeq and is a predicted model, not a curated record. The transcript has 5 exons. NCBI's taxonomy places the organism in Eukaryota, Metazoa, Arthropoda, Malacostraca, Decapoda, Portunidae.